UUCUAUAUAAAGGCUGCAGUCACUUCCGUUCCCUCUUUUUCAUUUCGGCCCUGAGGAGGUUAGUGAGGAUAAGCCACCAUGCCGGUUGCCCGUACUUGGGUGUGCAGUAAGACGUACGUCACACCACGUCGUCCCUUUGAGAAAUCCCGUCUCGACCAGGAGCUUAAGCUCAUUGGCGAGUAUGGACUGAGGAACAAGCGUGAGGUCUGGAGAGUCAAGUUCACUCUGGCUAAGAUCCGUAAAGCUGCCAGAGAACUGCUCACGUUGGACGAGAAAGAUCCCAAACGUCUCUUCGAGGGUAAUGCCUUGCUGAGGCGUCUGGUGCGUAUUGGUGUUCUAGAUGAGGGCAAGAUGAAGCUGGAUUACAUCCUGGGUCUGAAGGUGGAGGAUUUCUUGGAGCGCAGGUUGCAGACACAGGUGUUCAAACUGGGUCUGGCCAAGAGCAUCCACCAUGCUCGUGUUCUCAUCCGCCAGAGGCACAUUCGCCCUCGCUGAGCGUGUGAUAUUUCAGCAAGGUCAAUUCGGCAUUGAGCCGUAUACCUUUGCCCGUGUUGUUGUGUGUGCCGAGCCCUGGGCUGGCUGUGCUGACUGGAGCCGAUGACGCACCACAGUGUGCGUAAACAGGUGGUGAACAUCCCAUCUUUCGUGGUGCGUCUGGACAGUCAGAAGCACAUCGACUUCUCUCUGCGCUCUCCGUACGGAGGUGGACGUCCUGGCCGUGUCAAGAGAAAGAAUGCCAAGAAGGGACAGGGUGGAGCUGCAGGAGCAGAUGACGAG
Trichomycterus rosablanca is the source of this 777-nucleotide RNA transcript. It is a transcript of the gene named ribosomal protein S9, with no coding region annotated. Lineage: Eukaryota; Metazoa; Chordata; Actinopteri; Siluriformes; Trichomycteridae. The transcript has 6 exons. The record is from RefSeq and is a predicted model, not a curated record.